GGCCAGUCCCACAGUAGGGGGUUAUCAGAACUUAUUAACAUUAGUGUCACUAAAGUUGUUAUACAACCCCCCACUGCUAAAUUAGACUGGCUUUAA
RNAcentral lists this Y RNA (96 nucleotides) under Prolemur simus (greater bamboo lemur). RNAcentral's name for it is "Y RNA (ENSPSMG00000005617.1)". It matches the Rfam family "Y RNA". Rfam says of the family: Y RNAs are components of the Ro ribonucleoprotein particle (Ro RNP), in association with Ro60 and La proteins. The Y RNAs and Ro60 and La proteins are well conserved, but the function of the Ro RNP is not known. The record is from Rfam by way of RNAcentral. Lineage: Eukaryota; Metazoa; Chordata; Mammalia; Primates; Lemuridae.